Molecule: ribosomal RNA, 484 nt
Filed under: uncultured bacterium
Lineage: Bacteria
Description: partial 16S ribosomal RNA
Rfam family: Bacterial small subunit ribosomal RNA
Source: RNAcentral
AUUGAACGCUGGCGGCAGGCCUAACACAUGCAAGUCGAGCGGAUGAAGGGGGCUUGCUCCUGGAUUCAGCGGCGGACGGGUGAGUAAUGCCUAGGAAUCUGCCUGGUAGUGGGGGAUAACGUCCGGAAACGGGCGCUAAUACCGCAUACGUCCUGAGGGAGAAAGUGGGGGAUCUUCGGACCUCACGCUAUCAGAUGAGCCUAGGUCGGAUUAGCUAGUUGGUGGGGUAAGGGCCUACCAAGGCGACGAUCCGUAACUGGUCUGAGAGGGUGAUCAGUCACACUGGAACUGAGACACGGUCCAGACUCCUACGGGAGGAAGCAGUGGGGACUAUUGGACAAUGGGCGAAAGCCUGAUCCAGCCAUGCCGCGUGUGUGAAGAAGGUCUUCGGAUUGUAAAGCACUUUAAGUUGGGAGGAAGGGCAGUAAGUUAAUCCCUUGCUGUUUUGACGUUACCAACAGAAUAAGCCCCGGCUAACUUCGUG